AGAGGGAGGGGGGGGGGUGAGUUGGUGAGUGGCUGGAGGAGGGAAAGAGGAUCGCACUAGCUACACGUUCUGUACGUGAUCAGUUCUUGUAACGUUUGAUUUCUGUGGGCGACAGGGGAGGAAUACGUCGCUAGUCUUCAUAGGGAGCCUCAGACGAGCGGUUGUGUCGUUGUUCAACAUGUCAUUUUUCAAAAGAUGGCAGAAAAACGCAGUAGCAGUGCCAUAGAUAUUGAAAGCAAGAAAAAACCAAGGCGUGAGCAGAAGUACAGAGAUGUUUGGGAAAAAGAAUUUCCAUGGUUAAGACCAUCCAGGAAAGACUUGUAAAGCACAGUGUAAAACAUGUGGUGUUGAAUUAAAUUACUGCGCAGUUAACAACAAUAAAGCUUCAUGAGAAAAGCGUGAAGCAUCAGAAUAUGUGUGCAACAUCUAGUUCAACAAAAACUAUAGCAGAGGCGUUUACCAGUGCACAAUCUAGCAAGGGAGAUUCAGUUAAAGCUGCUGAAAGCAAGCCCCAUGCAAAUGCAGAUUGCGAAAGAUGUUUCUCAGACAUUAAUAGAAUGAAAUCUAACGACAAAUAAACUAAAAACAGAAUCAGUGAGAGACAUUAUCUUAGCUAAACAAUCCGUAACAAGCCAAGGAAACUGCACCUCAUUCGAACCAUCCAGGAGCAUGAUAAGAAGUAUGACUUCAAAACUACUAUAUUCUACGGAUAAAGAAAGUGACCAAAGCUACCCACAAAUCCAUGGGGACUCAGCCAUUGACUUAUAAAGUGAAAUCUGGGAACCCUGCUGCCCACCCCUACCAGUCAGUCAGUCAGAUCACAGCUACGGUGGGGGAAUUGUAUGUGCUUCGCUCCUCCGUGACUCCCAAGGCGCUAAGCGUUCCAGUUUCACGCAACGAGGGAGCAAGAGCUGUGCUACGGCCUCCUCGUGGAAGUCAGCCACGUGAUCCACUUCAAGCAACGUGCCGUCCAGGCGAUCACCGUUACCCUCUGUCUGGCCUCGUGCGUCCACUUCACCUGAAGGGAUAUAGUUUUUACACCUUUAUUGACAUCAG
Long non-coding RNA from Eriocheir sinensis (Chinese mitten crab), 1056 nucleotides. RefSeq lists it as uncharacterized. The record is from RefSeq and is a predicted model, not a curated record. The transcript has 3 exons. Lineage: Eukaryota; Metazoa; Arthropoda; Malacostraca; Decapoda; Varunidae.